This 474-nucleotide ribosomal RNA is filed under the name uncultured bacterium. Its description in RNAcentral is "SSU rRNA". It matches the Rfam family "Bacterial small subunit ribosomal RNA", at positions 26 to 518 of the family's 1533-position model. The record is from RNAcentral.
AGGACGAACGCUGGCGGCGUGCUUAACACAUGCAAGUCGAGCGGAAAGGCCCUUCGGGGUACUCGAGCGGCGAACGGGUGAGUAACACGUGGGCAACCUGCCCUUAGCUCUGGGAUAGCUCCGGGAAACCGGAAUUAAUACCGGAUAUGACCUAGGCCAACAUCGGCCGUGGUGGAAAGUUUUUCGGCUAGGGAUGGACUCGCGGCCUAUCAGCUAGUUGGUGGGGUAAUGGCCUACCAAGGCGACGACGGGUAGCCGGCCUGAGAGGGCGACCGGCCACACUGGGACUGAGACACGGCCCAGACUCCUACGGGAGGCAGCAGUGGGGAAUCUUGCGCAAUGGGCGAAAGCCUGACGCAGCGACGCCGCGUGGGGGAUGAAGGCCUUCGGGUUGUAAACCCCUUUCAGCAGGGACGAAGCGAAAGUGACGGUACCUGCAGAAGAAGCGCCGGCUAACUACGUGCCAGCAGCCGC